Molecule: long non-coding RNA, 224 nt
Filed under: Setaria viridis
Lineage: Eukaryota; Viridiplantae; Streptophyta; Magnoliopsida; Poales; Poaceae
Description: long non-coding RNA (SVIR_LNC001655)
Source: RNAcentral
GGUCAAUGACUUGCUGUUGAUGAUCAUUAAGUACCAAAUAUGACCGUCAAUAUACUCAAGAAUAAAGGAGGAUUUGCAUUUCUUAAACGCAUAUUUGGUUUUGAAUAAUGUAGUUCCACUUGUCCUUGGAGAAUAUUUGGUUGCAGGUGAAUAAGCACAAAAGGAUGGAGAAAACACCCUCUAUGGAUACAAGAAACAUGCUUCUGGCCAAUGGGAGGUCGCCA